RNAcentral lists this ribosomal RNA (330 nucleotides) under uncultured fungus. RNAcentral describes it as "eukaryotic LSU rRNA". The stretch from base 1 to 71 matches the Rfam family "5.8S ribosomal RNA", at positions 84 to 154 of the family's 154-position model. The record is from RNAcentral. Lineage: Eukaryota; Fungi.
GUGAGUCAUCGAAUCUUUGAACGCACCUUGCACCCUUUGGUAUUCCGAAGGGUACACCCGUUUGAGUGUCAUUGUAAUCUCACUUCAACCACUUUUGUGAUGUUGAAUGUGGACUUGGAUGUUGCCGUGUCCAACGGCUCAUCUGAAAUGUUUGAGUGUACCCUGCUUUGCAGUCGUAUCAGUGUGAUAAACAUCUUCACUGUCAAGUCUCUAGGGACACGCUAGUGUUGCAGGCUCUAUGCUUCCAACCGUCUUAGGACAAUCUCUGACAAUUUGACCUCAAAUCGGGUGGGACUACCCGCUGAACUUAAGCAUAUCAAUAAGGCGAGG